GAUCAUGGCUCAGGAUGAACGCUGGCGGCGUGCCUAACACAUGCAAGUCGAGCGAUUCUCUUCGGAGAAGAGCGGCGGACGGGUGAGUAACGCGUGGGUAACCUGCCCUGUACACACGGAUAACAUACCGAAAGGUAUGCUAAUACGGAGUAACAUAAGAAAUUACGCAUGUUUUUCUUUAUCAAAGACUCCGGCGGGUACAGGAUGGACCGCGUCUGAUUAGCUAGUUGGUUGAGGUAAUGGCU
RNAcentral lists this ribosomal RNA (245 nucleotides) under uncultured bacterium. RNAcentral's name for it is "partial 16S ribosomal RNA". It matches the Rfam family "Bacterial small subunit ribosomal RNA", at positions 15 to 265 of the family's 1533-position model. The record is from RNAcentral.